ACCCUCUGUUGUUGUAACUCAACUGCUUCAUCUAGAUUUCCUCCGAUAGGAUCAAUUGGAUCUCUUGGAUUGUUCAUUCUUCGCAAAGUGCGGUUCAGCUCUGGAUCGUAAGGAGUAAGUGGUUCACCCUGGCUCCGUGUACUUGGCAUACACUAGAGUCGGAACCUGAGAGAGACAAAAACAAAGAGAAAAGGUAAAAUUAGGAAAUAUUUGACUAACGUUCAAUAAUG
RNAcentral lists this long non-coding RNA (230 nucleotides) under Solanum tuberosum (potato). Its description in RNAcentral is "long non-coding RNA (STUB_LNC008827)". The record is from RNAcentral. Lineage: Eukaryota; Viridiplantae; Streptophyta; Magnoliopsida; Solanales; Solanaceae.